Non-coding RNA from Camellia sinensis, 659 nucleotides. The record is from RefSeq and is a predicted model, not a curated record. Lineage: Eukaryota; Viridiplantae; Streptophyta; Magnoliopsida; Ericales; Theaceae.
AAGUGAGAAGCUUAAUGACCUUGGUUUAAUGUGUAGAGCCUAAUGCGUACUCAAUUAAAAAUUAAGUAGGAUUAGUAAAAGUUAAGCAAGAUUAAUUAAGAUUUAAGUAGGAUUAAUUACGCUAAUGAAGAUUAAGGGCCAAGUAUGGUUAAUUAGAACUAAGCUCGGUUAAUAAAGCUAAUGAAGUAAUUAGUGAAACACUUAAGCUAAUUAAUCAACCUACAUCAAAUAAAAGAAAGACAAAAGAGAAAGAUUGAGAAAGAUGGAGAAGAAUAGAGAGGGAGCUCAAGAGCUCUAGAGAAAGAAGAGAAGAAAGGAGAAAAGAAGGGGAAAUAGAAAGAAAAUCAAAGGGAACUCAAAAUUGGCCUAGAAAUUCAAGAAAAAUCAUCAAUAGGUGACGAAGAGCUUGGUUUCAAGAAAAGAUUGAUUAAGAGAUGUCUUGAUUGCUUCUAAUGGUUUCGUAUGAGCUUUGUCAUGAGUUUUGUAUCUUACUUUUGCUGUAUGGAUCAUGUAAUGUAAUAUAAGCGGGAUAAUAAUCUAAGAGGAAUUUAUGCUUUCAUUUCAUAUAGUUAUGUACAGCUCUGAAUGGAUGUUUCAAAUGGACUCAAUAUAAGUAUGUAAUGGCUUCCACACUUUAUAAUUGAAAAUUUGCCCCAAAU